Molecule: ribosomal RNA, 484 nt
Filed under: uncultured bacterium
Lineage: Bacteria
Description: partial 16S ribosomal RNA
Rfam family: Bacterial small subunit ribosomal RNA
Source: RNAcentral
GUUGAACGCUGGCGGCAGGCCUAACACAUGCAAGUCGAGCGGAUGAAGGGAGCUUGCUCCUGGCUUCAGCGGCGGACGGGUGAGUAAUGCCUAGGAAUCUGCCUGGUAGUGGGGGAUAACGUCCGGAAACGGGCGCUAAUACCGCAUACGUCCUGAGGGAGAAAGUGGGGGAUCUUCGGACCUCACGCUAUCAGCUGAGCCUAGGUCGGAUUAGCUAGUUGGUGGGGUAAAGGCCUACCAAGGCGACGAUCCGUAACUGAUCUGAGAGGAUGAUCAGUCACACUAGAACUGAGACACGGUCCAGACUCCUACGGGAGGCAGCAGUGGGGAAUGUCGGACAAUGGGCGAAAGCCUGAUCCAGCCAGGCCGCGUGUGUGAAGAAGGUCUUCGGAUUGUAAAGCACUUUAAGUGGGGAGGAAGAGCAGUAAGUUGAUACCUUGCUGUCUUGACGUUACCUACAGAAGAAGCACCGGCUAACUACGUG